Molecule: ribosomal RNA, 468 nt
Filed under: uncultured bacterium
Lineage: Bacteria
Description: partial 16S ribosomal RNA
Rfam family: Bacterial small subunit ribosomal RNA
Source: RNAcentral
GACGAACGCUGGCGGCGUGCUUAACACAUGCAAGUCGAACGGAAAGGCCCUGCUUUUGUGGGGUGCUCGAGUGGCGAACGGGUGAGUAACACGUGAGUAACCUGCCCUUGACUUUGGGAUAACUUCAGGUAACUGGGGCUAAUACCGGAUAGGAGCUCCUGCUGCAUGGUGGGGGUUGGAAAGUUUCGGCGGUUGGGGAUGGACUCGCGGCUUAUCAGCUUGUUGGUGGGGUAGUGGCUGACCAAGGCUUUGACGGGUAGCCGGCCUGAGAGGGUGACCGGCCACAUUGGGACUGAGAUACGGCCCAGACUCCUACGGGAGGCAGCAGUGGGGAAUAUUGCACAAUGGGCGGAAGCCUGAUGCAGCAACGCCGCGUGCGGGAUGACGGCCUUCUGGUUGUAAACCGCUUUCGCCUGUGACGAAGCGUGAGUGACGGUAAUGGGUAAAGAAGCACCGGCUAACUACGUG